Molecule: small RNA, 100 nt
Filed under: Desulfosporosinus meridiei
Lineage: Bacteria; Bacillati; Bacillota; Clostridia; Eubacteriales; Desulfitobacteriaceae
Description: Guanidine-I sequence
Rfam family: Guanidine-I riboswitch aptamer
About the family: This family represents a conserved RNA structure found upstream of the ykkC and yxkD genes in Bacillus subtilis and related genes in other bacteria. The function of this family is unclear although it has been suggested that it may function to switch on efflux pumps and detoxification systems in response to harmful environmental molecules.
Source: RNAcentral
ACAAAAGUUCUCUAGGGUUCCGCAGUUUUAACUGGCCUGUGACCAAGAGAGAACUCACAGUUUUAUAGCUGUGUCACGGAAGGAUAAAAGCCUGGGAGAU